UCUCCGAAAUAUAUUUAGGUAUAGCGUUGUGUCGUAAUAUAAGGGGGUAGAGCACUGAAUGGGCUAGGGCAUACACCAAUGUACCAAACCCUAUCAAACUCCGAAUACCUUAUAUGUAAUCACAGCAGUCAGGCGGCGAGUGAUAAAAUCCGUCGUCAAGAGGGAAACAACCCAGACUACCAGCUAAGGUCCCUAAAUCUUACUUAAGUGGAAAACGAUGUGAAGUUACUUAAACAACCAGGAGGUUGGCUUAGAAGCAGCCAUCCUUUAAAGAAAGCGUAAUAGCUCACUGGUCUAGUGAUUUUGCGCGGAAAAUAUAACGGGGCUAAAGUAAGUACCGAAGCUGUAGACUUAGUUUACUAAGUGGUAGGAGAGCGUUCUAUUUGCGUCGAAGGUAUACCGGUAAGGAGUGCUGGAGCGAAUAGAAGUGAGCAUGCAGGCAUGAGUAGCGAUAAUUAAUGUGAGAAUCAUUAACGCCGUAAACCCAAGGUUUCCUACGCGAUGCUCGUCAUCGUAGGGUUAGUCGGGUCCUAAGUCGAGUCCGAAAGGGGUAGACGAUGGCAAAUUGGUUAAUAUUCCAAUACCAACAUUAGUGUGCGAUGGAAGGACGCUUAGGGCUAAGGGGGCUAGCGGAUGGAAGUGCUAGUCUAAGGUCGUAGGAGGUUAUACAGGCAAAUCCGUAUAACAAUACUCCGAGAACUGAAAGGCUUUUUGAAGUCUUCGGAUGGAUAGAAGAACCCCUGAUGCCGUCGAGCCAAGAAAAGUUUCUAAGUUUAGCUAAUGUUGCCCGUACCGUAAACCGACACAGGUGGGUGGGAUGAGUAUUCUAAGGCGCGUGGAAGAACUCUCUUUAAGGAACUCUGCAAAAUAGCACCGUAUCUUCGGUAUAAGGUGUGGUUAGCUUUGUAUUAGGAUUUACUCCGAAAGCAAGGAAACUUACAACAAAGAGUCCCUCCCGACUGUUUACCAAAAACACAGCACUCUGCUAACUCGUAAGAGGAUGUAUAGGGUGUGACGCCUGCCCGGUGCUCGAAGGUUAAUUGAUGGGGUUAGCAUUAGCGAAGCUCUUGAUCGAAGCCCGAGUAAACGGCGGCCGUAACUAUAACGGUCCUAAGGUAGCGAAAUUCCUUGUCGGUUAAAUACCGACCUGCAUGAAUGGCGUAACGAGAUGGGAGCUGUCUCAAAGAGGGAUCCAGUGAAAUUGUAGUGGAGGUGAAAAUUCCUCCUACCCGCGGCAAGACGGAAAGACCCCGUGGACCUUUACUACAGCUUGACACUGCUACUUGGAUAAGAAUGUGCAGGAUAGGUGGGAGGCUUUGAGUAUAUGACGCCAGUUGUAUAUGAGCCAUUGUUGAGAUACCACUCUUUCUUAUUUGGGUAGCUAACCAGCUUGAGUUAUCCUCAAGUGGGACAAUGUCUGGUGGGUAGUUUGACUGGGGCGGUCGCCUCCCAAAUAAUAACGGAGGCUUACAAAGGUUGGCUCAGAACGGUUGGAAAUCGUUCGUAGAGUAUAAAGGUAUAAGCCAGCUUAACUGCAAGACAUACAAGUCAAGCAGAGACGAAAGUCGGUCUUAGUGAUCCGGUGGUUCUGUGUGGAAGGGCCAUCGCUCAAAGGAUAAAAGGUACCCCGGGGAUAACAGGCUGAUCUCCCCCAAGAGCUCACAUCGACGGGGAGGUUUGGCACCUCGAUGUCGGCUCAUCGCAUCCUGGGGCUGGAGCAGGUCCCAAGGGUAUGGCUGUUCGCCAUUUAAAGCGGUACGCGAGCUGGGUUCAGAACGUCGUGAGACAGUUCGGUCCCUAUCUGCCGUGGGCGUAAGAAGAUUGAAGAGAUUUGACCCUAGUACGAGAGGACCGGGUUGAACAAACCACUGGUGUAGCUGUUGUUCUGCCAAGAGCAUCGCAGCGUAGCUAAGUUUGGAAAGGAUAAACGCUGAAAGCAUCUAAGCGUGAAGCCAACUCUAAGAUGAAUCUUCUCUAAGCUCUCUAGAAGACUACUAGUUUGAUAGGCUGGGUGUGUAAUGGAUGAAAGUCCUUUAGCUGACCAGUACUAAUAGAGCGUUUGGCUUAUCUUUAAUAAAGCAU
RNAcentral lists this ribosomal RNA (2082 nucleotides) under Campylobacter jejuni. Its description in RNAcentral is "partial 23S ribosomal RNA". It matches the Rfam family "Bacterial large subunit ribosomal RNA", at positions 856 to 2925 of the family's 2925-position model. The record is from RNAcentral. Lineage: Bacteria; Pseudomonadati; Campylobacterota; Epsilonproteobacteria; Campylobacterales; Campylobacteraceae.